GGAGAGGUGGCCGAGUGGACUAAGGCGCUCGCCUGGAGAGCGAGUAGACGGGCAAACCCUGUCUCGUGGGUUCGAAUCCCACCCUCUCCG
RNAcentral lists this transfer RNA (90 nucleotides) under Thermodesulfitimonas autotrophica. It matches the Rfam family "tRNA". Rfam says of the family: Transfer RNA (tRNA) molecules are approximately 80 nucleotides in length. Lineage: Bacteria; Bacillati; Bacillota; Clostridia; Thermoanaerobacterales; Thermoanaerobacteraceae. The record is from Rfam by way of RNAcentral.